AAAAGAGAAAAUAAAGUGAAUACUUGAAGAAAUCUUUGUCCACAUUUCAGUUCUUAUCCUUGUCUUCUUCUUCUUCUUCUUCUUCUUCUUCUUUUUCUUCUU
This 102-nucleotide non-coding RNA is filed under the name uncultured eukaryote. The record is from RNAcentral.